This 29-nucleotide small RNA is filed under the name Bombyx mori (domestic silkworm). Its description in RNAcentral is "ovarian small RNA-13969". The record is from RNAcentral. Lineage: Eukaryota; Metazoa; Arthropoda; Insecta; Lepidoptera; Bombycidae.
CCUCCGAGGUCAGAACCCGGAUGAGGUAU